RNAcentral lists this ribosomal RNA (609 nucleotides) under Hanseniaspora uvarum. RNAcentral describes it as "eukaryotic LSU rRNA". It matches the Rfam family "Eukaryotic large subunit ribosomal RNA", at positions 48 to 670 of the family's 3401-position model. Lineage: Eukaryota; Fungi; Ascomycota; Saccharomycetes; Saccharomycodales; Saccharomycodaceae. The record is from RNAcentral.
AAGCUGAGGAAAAGGAAACCAACUGGGAUUACCUUAGUAACGGCGAGUGAAGCGGUAAAAGCUCAAAUUUGAAAUCUGGUACUUUCAGUGCCCGAGUUGUAAUUUGUAGAAUUUGUCUUUGAUUAGGUCCUUGUCUAUGUUCCUUGGAACAGGACGUCAUAGAGGGUGAGAAUCCCGUUUGGCGAGGAUACCUUUUCUCUGUAAGACUUUUUCGAAGAGUCGAGUUGUUUGGGAAUGCAGCUCAAAGUGGGUGGUAAAUUCCAUCUAAAGCUAAAUAUUGGCGAGAGACCGAUAGCGAACAAGUACAGUGAUGGAAAGAUGAAAAGAACUUUGAAAAGAGAGUGAAAAAGUACGUGAAAUUGUUGAAAGGGAAGGGCAUUUGAUCAGACAUGGUGUUUUUUGCAUGCACUCGCCUCUCGUGGGCUUGGGCCUCUCAAAAAUUUCACUGGGCCAACAUCAAUUCUGGCAGCAGGAUAAAUCAUUAAGAAUGUAGCUACUUCGGUAGUGUUAUAGCUUUUUGGAAUACUGUUAGCCGGGAUUGAGGACUGCGCUUCGGCAAGGAUGUUGGCAUAAUGGUUAAAUGCCGCCCGUCUUGAACAACGGACCCAA